GAAAAUCUGAUCGUUCUACACGCAUCUUCCGUCCCCGCCGCACAAACCCUUGGCCGCCGUCACCAACGCUGAAACCGUAGACCUUCACGGCCGGUCAAAACCGGCGCCGCCGCCGUCCGAGUGCAAAGACAAUUGUUCAUCGGAUCCGUCGCUGUUCAGCGGAUCCAGUCUUGGCCGCCGUCACCAACGCUGAAACCGUAGACCUCCUUCACGGCCGGUCAAAACCGGCGACGCCGCCGUCCGAUUGGAUCCGUCGCUGUUCAGCGGAUCCAUACGCCGCCGGACACUAUCUGGGCCGGCGAUUGCAAAUUCAGGUGGUGAAUCGUCUCAUUGCCGGUGUCAGAAUAAGAAUCAAGUGCCAACAGUCAUUUAUUUUACGUGCACAUAACUGACAAGAGUUUGUGGCUGGUGACGGCCCUCGGGGACGGUGUCAUCAGCAGCAGCAUCUGGCAAGUGCAUCCAGUUUGCAGGUCACAACUUCAGAGGAUCUCCAGUUUUCAGCCCCGAAACAGCAUCACAUGCAAGAAGAAACACAAACAUAAGGUCCUUAUGGGUAAUUCAGGAAGCAAGGUGGUUGAUCAGCAACCAGAAGAGGACGUUACUACUGGUAUGCUGCAUUUCUACGAGAAAGUACUACACAUAUGUUAUUCACAAGCUUUUAUUAUCGUGUUUUGCAGGCCUUAAAAGCGUGAUAACUGUUGAAGUUAAUUCUCCGGCCUUACAAGCUCUACAAUAGUUGAAGAUAACAAUGCAAGCAUCUUACCCUUAGCUCAAAAUGAUGUAACAUUGUCGUUUUCGGAUGGAGAGCAUAAUGAGACUUUAUUCACAGAUUCUAAUAUAAAGAAUUGGGAUUUUAGUAUAAAUGAAGGUGGCACAAGUUUGCAACGGAUUAAAGACCAUCAUGAUGAUUCGUUGUUGGGUUCCAAAUAUCCAAGUCUUGAUUGGCGCACAAAUGUACUUAGCAAAAGUACUAUUGGUACCAACUCAUACUUAUUCCAAAAGUACUAUGUUCCAUGUUGCUAGAGUCAACACGAGGUCAAAAGUUUUGUAAGAAGGAAACUAUCCAGACAUUGGCAACAUUAUUUGAUAGCUGGCCUGGGAUGGAGACCGACAUCUCAUCUUGCAAUAAGAUUUAUCUUCCCUAUGCAUUUAUUGGCCGAUACAUAUUGUACGUCAUCGACAAAGAGGCACGUCGUCUAUAUAUUAUGGAUCCUAUUCAAUCAUCACAAUCGUCAGAGGAUAAAAACUUGAGGCAUUCACUAAAAUUAAAAAGUUUUUCAAGGGAUUUCAAAGAAGCACUCGAAAUAAAGCUGCCUGGGUGGAAUUUCGAUAUAUCUAAAUGGCAUCGUUUAUUUCCGGCCGGUGUUCCAACGAGUAUAGACGGGAAUGUGUCUGGCUAUUUUGUUUUUCAUUUUAUGCUCUGGUGGAACGGUAAAGAAUUGGUCAAGCCGGUUUGCGCGGAUGGGUAUGAAUUGAGGAAGCAUUUUUUAUUAUACUUGCUAAAUCAUCGUGGAAAUGAAGCUAGAGGAAACUUUCCUGAUAUUGUGAAAGAAUUUCUUAAGCGCAUCAUCUAGAUAUUAAUAUUCUUGUAAUAGAUGUUAAGUUGUAACAUCACUUAGUUUGUUACAUUGCAAUAAUGGACUUCAGUUUGUGUUA
Molecule: long non-coding RNA, 1656 nt
Organism: Triticum aestivum (bread wheat)
Lineage: Eukaryota; Viridiplantae; Streptophyta; Magnoliopsida; Poales; Poaceae
Exons: 10
Source: RefSeq, a predicted model, not a curated record